RNAcentral lists this transfer RNA (85 nucleotides) under Caudoviricetes sp. RNAcentral's name for it is "tRNA-Ser". It matches the Rfam family "tRNA". Rfam says of the family: Transfer RNA (tRNA) molecules are approximately 80 nucleotides in length. Their secondary structure includes four short double-helical elements and three loops (D, anti-codon, and T loops). Lineage: Duplodnaviria; Heunggongvirae; Uroviricota; Caudoviricetes. The record is from RNAcentral.
GGAGCGUUGCACGAGUGGCUUAAGUGGGCACCCUGCUAAGGUGCUAACCGAUAAUGGUUCAGGGGUUCGAAUCCCUUACGUUCCG